Oncorhynchus mykiss (rainbow trout) is the source of this 5109-nucleotide RNA transcript. It is a transcript of the gene named signal transducer and activator of transcription 5B, with no coding region annotated. Lineage: Eukaryota; Metazoa; Chordata; Actinopteri; Salmoniformes; Salmonidae. The record is from RefSeq and is a predicted model, not a curated record.
CUGCUGAAGCCGGACCAAUAAUAAAAAGAGAACAAAGAAUUGUCUCCGUUUUAUUGGACUAGAGCGGAAAUACAUUACAUUUAUGCCCCCACCCGUACCAAUGUCUUUAGGGUCUACAUUGUAGUUGGUGUUACACUUGCAUGGCUUUGUAUUAACUAGCUUAUAUAAAUAACGUUAGCAUAUUUUAGCUAGCUAUAAGACGGAGGAGGUAGCGCUGCUAUAACCAAAACGAGCAUUCUCCCCGGAAGUGGGUGGUGCAUGCAAAUAGUUUUAUGCUAACGUUAGUUAGUUAGCUAUAUGGUAGCAGCAACAGCUGGUUGCUAGUUGAUUUUCUUGCCAAGCAAAUUAAAAACUGGCCAUUACGAUACCGGUAAUGGUUCGAUAUGACAAACCGCAACAUUCUGGGUAACAUUAGCUAGCUAGGGAACGUUAAACACAAAACGUUUUGAAGGGCUUAGUUUUGGUGUUUCCUGUGCCCUAUGAUCUAAAUCAGAUUUGCUGUCUGGAUAUAGGGGCUGAAGGAGGAUGGCGGUGUGGAUCCAGGCCCAGCAGUUGCAGGGGGAUGCGCUGCACCAGAUGCAGUCUCUCUACGGACAGCACUUCCCCAUCGAGGUGCGUCACUACCUGGCCCAGUGGAUCGAGGGGCAGCUCUGGGAUUCUGUGGAGCUGGAGAACCCCCAGGAUGAGCUGAAGGCCAAGCGUCUGCUGGACAGCCUGGUGCAGGAGCUGCAGAGGAAGGCCGAGCACCAAGUGGGGGAGGACGGCUUCCUGCUCAAGAUCAAACUGGGACACUACGCCAGCCAGCUCAAGAGCACGUAUGACCGCUGUCCCCUUGAGCUGGUGCGCUGCAUCAAGCAUAUCCUUCACUCGGAGCAGAGGCUUGUGCAGGAGGCCAACAACGCCGUCGGGAGUGGCGGUGGGGGUGGGACCAUGGACAGCCUGUCCCAGAGGCACCAGCAGAUCAACCAGACGUUUGAGGAGCUGCGCGUGUCCACGCAGGAGACUGAGAACGAGCUGCGCAAGCUGCAGCACAACCAGGAGUAUUUCAUCAUCCAGUACCAGGAGAACCUGCGCAUCCAGGCCCAGUUGAGCAGUCUGUCAGCCGUGCCGGCAGAAGAGCGAACCCAGAGGGAGACCAGCCUGCAGGCCAAGAGAGCCACCGUGGAGGCUUGGCUCACCAGGGAGGCCAACACACUGCAGAAAUACAGACUGGACCUGGCGGAGAAGCACCAGAAGACUCUGGGCCAGCUGAGGAAGCAGCAGACGCUGAUCCUGGAUGAGGAGCUGAUCCAGUGGAAGAGACGUCAGCAGCUGGCCGGCAACGGGGGACCCACCGAGGGGGGACUGGAUGUCUUGCAGUCCUGGUGUGAAAAGCUAGCGGACCUGAUCUGGCAGAACCGGCAGCAGAUCCGGCGGGCCGAACACCUGACCCAGCAGCUACCUCUGCCUGGCCCAAUGGAGGAGCUGCUCACCAAGCUCAACUCUGACAUCACCGACAUCAUCUCCGCUCUCGUCACCAGUACGUUUAUCAUCGAGAAGCAGCCCCCCCAGGUGCUGAAGACCCAGACUAAGUUUGCGGCGACUGUGCGCCUACUGGUGGGCGGGAAGCUCAACGUGCACAUGAACCCCCCGCAGGUCAAGGCAGUCAUCGUCAGCGAGCAGCAGGCCAAGGCCCUUCUCAAGAAUGAGAGCACCCGCAAUGACAGCAGUGGAGAAAUUCUCAACAACAACUGUGUGAUGGAAUACCACCGAACCACAGGAACCCUGAGUGCUCACUUCAGGAACAUGUCCCUGAAGCGGAUCAAGCGGUCGGACCGUCGCGGGGCAGAGUCGGUCACAGAGGAGAAGUUCACUGUCAUGUUUGAGUCUCAGUUCAGCGUGGGGGGCAACGAGCUGGUCUUCCACGUCAAGACAUUAUCUCUCCCCGUCGUGGUGAUAGUUCACGGUAGUCAAGACAACAACGCCACGGCAACGGUCCUGUGGGACAAUGCUUUUGCAGAGCCGGGCAGGGUGCCAUUCGUCGUUCCUGACAAGGUGCUGUGGCCCCAGCUGUGUGAAGCCCUAGACAUGAAAUACAAGGCAGAGAUGCACAGUGCCCGCGGCCUCUGCGACGACAACCUGGUCUUCCUGGCCCAGAAGGCAUUCAGCAGCGCCAGCAUAAACCCAGAAGACUACCGCAGCAUGACCAUGUCCUGGGCCCAGUUCAACCGGGAGAGCUUGCCAGGGAGGAACUUCACUUUCUGGCAGUGGUUUGACGGAGUCAUGGAGCUCAUGAAGAAACACCUGAAGCCCCACUGGAAUGACGGGGCGAUCUUGGGCUUUGUGAAUAAACAGCAGGCCCAGGACAUGCUGAUGUCCAAGCCCAACGGGACCUUCCUGCUCCGCUUCAGUGACUCUGAGAUCGGGGGCAUCACCAUCGCCUGGGUGGCAGAGAACCCUAACAAAGCGGGGGAGAGGCUGGUGUGGAACCUCAUGCCGUACACCACCAAAGACUUCUCCAUCCGCUCACUAGCCGACCGCAUCAGUGACCUCAACCACCUUAUGUUCCUCUAUCCCGACCGGCCCAAGGACGAGGUGUUCUCCAAGUACUACACCCCUCCCCUCUCAAAAGCAGUGGAUGGCUACGUCAAACCACAGAUCAAGCAGGUUGUGCCAGAAUUCACUACUCCCAACCCUGAGCCGUCCAGUGGGAACCCCACCUAUAUGGACCAGGCACCCUCCCCGUCAGUGGCUCACCCCAUCAACUUUGCAAUUUUCCCUCCCAUGGACUGAUUUAGAUGUGGGACACCAGGUGGGUGCAAUUAAUUAUCAGGGAGAACAGAAAACCAUCAGGCUUCGGACCUCGUAGGAAGUGACCCCAUGAUGGACGCAGAUGGAGAGUUUGACCUGGAAGACACCAUGGAUGUGGCCCGACACGUGGAGGAGCUUCUGCGGCGGCCCAUGGCCAACCAGUGGGACGGCCAACAGUCCUGAACUUUCACCUUUGACCCCUGACCCUACACCCAACAAGAGCAAGCACCCAGAAAACAUCCAAUGGUUUUGGUCCCAUUGGUUUAUAUUUUUUUGUCAAUUCUCAAAGGUGAAAUGUAAUAUUUGACAGUUCUUGGAUUAUUUUCUGAUCUUCUUGACGUGGCAAUUGAUUAUUUAAAAGAAAUAACUAAUUGUACCUGAAGAAAAAGCACAGUUGAAAAGGUUUGUUUGGAAGUAAGUACUGAGAAAAAUGUAGAAAUGUGUGUUACUACAAUAUACAGCAAUAUUUUUACAAAAAUGUUUAGCUAUGCUGCUUAUGGCCAUCCUCUGAAAAUGUUUAAAGAGCAGGAAGGCCUGCACACUGUUUUUAUGCUCCCAAUUCACAGCUUUAUUGACAAGGUUUCGAUCCGAACCGGAUCUUUGUCAGGUCAAACAAAUGGAGUGCUCACAACCCGAAAAUGUACACGUUUCACCUCACAUGACCAUGACACAUGGUGGGUGUGGAAACAAUUCAAUUAACUUUUACUCACAGUUAAUCCGAGGUACAUGUGGUCCUAAAGGAUUAUAGACAUACAAAUAGGGCUGAGUUAACCUAGGCAACUUUUUUUUUUUUAAAGGCCUUAGAUCUAAUUACAGUGUUCCUUUUCAAAAACCAACUUGUGUACCUCUAAUAAUUUAGAUAUCAAUGAGAUGGGCACGUGUAGUAGUCUUCGAAAAUAUAAUAUGUACAAAAUGACCAACUGGAGACCUAGCCGUCAAGACAAAUCAACGUAACAUAUUUAUGUAAAAAAUAGUCUCAAAUUCUUCAUUCAUAGCUUUAGGAGACAGUACCCCCCCCCACCCCCCAAGUAGCCUUAACAUGUUCAAUACCCGUGUAUCUCAGAGAGCUGUUGUGACGAGCCUCUGUGAAACGUGCAGCCACAGUUUCUCUGAUCAAGAGUCCUGAUAUUUCUCUUGUGUUCUAUGUUUUCACAGCUCGUUUUGUUUUUCCUUCAUGGCAUAGACCACAAAUGCACUUGAUCAGGUAUACCAUUUUAGUUUUUUGUAUAACACGUGAUACACUUAAUCUUAAUGGCCUUGCCUGUGAUGGGUUGAUUGAACGUUGUGCAUUUGUUCUUAAAGUUACACUGGGUGCAUCGGCCACAUCUGUAAUUACUGUCCGGCACGUUAUCUAGGAAGGUGUUACGUGGCAUCGGUGGGAAGGGAUGGUUUGGGAGUGAGGCCAGGUCAUGUUUUUCUAACGGUCCCGUGCGUCAUACACCCAAUCCUCUGGUAACGGUAAGGGCAGGAAGCCUAGUGGUUAGAGCGUUGAGCCAGUAACCAAAAGGUUGCUAGAUUGAAUCUCCCCGCCGACAAGGUAAAAAUCUCUCGUUCUACCCCUGAGAAAGGCAGUUAACCCACUGUUCCCCGAGCUCCGAAGACCUGGAUGUUGAUUUAAGUGUGAUUUUUUUUUUUAAAUGCGGGAGACGCAUUUCAGUUGAAUGCAUUCAGUUGUACAACUAGGUAUCCCCUUUCCCUGUUUGGAGCGUUCGUCCAGACAGUGCAAUUGAUUGUACUUACAGAUCCUGCUUAUACAACUGUAUUGGGUGAUAGGGAGGCUCUUUUUCAGGGAAAGGUACUUUUACUCUUCAGGUUGGUAUCGUCAAAGAGGCGCUAUAGUCAAAGUACACCGCAUUUCUUUAAAUGCUCAGUGCUGUAUUUGUUUCUAAAGGUUUGGAAUGUAACUAUGAAAUGAUUUGAGUCUUGCGUCUGUCUCUGCACCGUUAAAUUCAAAAUCAACAUAACAAAAUUACCAUUCAGAAUGAAUUACGUUUGAAGUAGAUUCCACCGUUGAUUAUUGAAAUACGAUAGUACAGUAUUUUGACCCUUUGCAUCCUCAAAAUGGGGCCCUUGGUUUGAACCGCCAUGUGCUGUGUACAUUCUGCCUCACAUUACAUGCGUAAUACAUGUACAGUAUCUUCUGCCUUUGAAUGUCAAGUUUACUAGCCUUAAUUCAAACUCCUCUUGCUUCUUAUUACACUGAACUAGUUUCACUUAGUGUAUCAGUUUAUUUUUCUAAACAAAUGAACUAUUAACUAGUAACUUAACUAUUGAAUUGCUACUCAAAUUCAUCAGACUACAUUAUAAACUCAGCGAUAA